GGCAGCAGCUAAGAAUAUUCCGCAAUGGACGAAAGUCUGACGGAGCGACGCCGCGUGGAUGAUGAAGGCCGGAAGGUUGUAAAAUCCUUUUAUGACUGAGGAAUAAGUGAAGUGAGAGAAACGCUUCAUGGUGACUGUAGGUCAUGAAUAAGCAACGGCUAAUUACGUGCCAGCAGCCGCGGUAACACGUAAGUUGCGAGCGUUGUUCGGAAUUAUUGGGCGUAAAGGGCAUGUAGGCGGUUCUGCAAGUCUGGUGUGAAAUACCGGGGCUCAACCCCGGAACUGCGUUGGAAACUGCAGAACUUGAGUCGCUGAGGGGCAGCCAGAAUUCCAGGUGUGGGGGUGAAAUCUGUAGAUAUCUGGAAGAAUACCAAUGGCGAAGGCAGGCUGCCAGCAGAUGACUGACGCUGAGGUGCGAAGGUGCGGGGAGCAAACAGGAUUAGAUACCCUGGUAGUCCGCACAGUCAACUAUGUACACUGGGUGUCCGUUCAUGAGAAUGGGUGCCGAAGCAAACGCGAUAAGUGUACCGCCUGGGGAGUAUGCCCGCAAGGGUGAAACUCAAAGGAAUUGACGG
Molecule: ribosomal RNA, 575 nt
Filed under: uncultured rumen bacterium
Lineage: Bacteria
Description: bacterial SSU rRNA
Rfam family: Bacterial small subunit ribosomal RNA
Source: RNAcentral